UUAUUGCUCCCAAGAUUAAAUGUGUCCUAUCUUACAAUGGUGUGAAAGAUGACAUGAAGACUCUUCUUUUGAGAGAGUUGUAAACUGCCUUUAUUCAGGCAGCAUAUAAACUUGGGCAAAUUAAUAUAUAAAUGAAAAAUAAAGAAAAGAAAGACUUGGCAAUCCUUGUGAAAAACUAAGCAGUUAUUGUAGAGAUUACCAGGGAAGACAGAUGACUUUUAUGUAGACUUUCUCCUCCAAGACUCAAAUCCGGCUACCACAUGUGCAGUGGCAAAAUUUUGUGUCGCUGCAAUGUCCACAAGAAAAAAAUUGGUUACCGAAUUAUAGAUGUCAACUGAUGCCAACUUUUGGGAGAUAUAUAUAACAGUUAUGGGAAAAUACAUUUACUCACAUACUUGACGGUUCUCCACGCAUGUAAAUUAGGAAGCGACCCUAUUGGUUGAGAACCUGUAUUUUAAUUAUAGGAACGGUAUUAUACACGAUUGAUGUCAGUAGUAUUUCAGUUUUAAUUUACAUAACAGAUAACUGGAUUUUAUCAUAGAUUUCAUCUGUUAUGUAUUAUUUUAUUCUUGAAUUUUUAAUUGUAUAUUUAUUGAGUGUUUUUUUUAUUUGUUCUGGCCUAUGGCUGUA
This is a long non-coding RNA of Ahaetulla prasina, 630 nucleotides long. RefSeq lists it as uncharacterized. The transcript has 3 exons. The record is from RefSeq and is a predicted model, not a curated record. Lineage: Eukaryota; Metazoa; Chordata; Lepidosauria; Squamata; Colubridae.